CUGACACCAGUACGCCAGUGGGGCGCGGGUCCCGGAAUGAGAGCGCGAGGGUGGGGCUGCGCCAUGGCGCGCCUUGCGGUUCUCCCAGGGCCGCAGCGGAUCCUACUCCCCGCCCGCCGUAGCCGCAAGGAGUGGCAUUUUCAUACAUUUCCCAGAGAUAUUUGACCUUGGAACUUUUUUCUGGGACCAUCUGGAAGGCGGAAGUUUCCAAACUGGAGAUUCCAGUAGUACGCAGUCAGGUGAAGCAUAAUAAUGCAAACUUCUUGAAAUUCUAUAUGGUCACCACCAGAUGGAGCUUUCACCUCUAUUUUUCUUUUUGGUUUAAUCUGUUUUCUAAGGUAAAUAAAGCACUUGCAGUUGUUUCUAACAUGGAUUCUCUUCCAUUUGUUCAGAUGGUGACAUUAUAAGGCACUGGCCAAGUAUUUGGGGACUACUCACUAGAAAAAGUAAUCCUCAGCCUCAGUAGUGUGUCGAGUCCAUAUACUUACAUCUGUCUGAUGUUCUAGUCUGCACACACAAUGACCACAGUCAUGUCAGAUAUGAUAGUAAAUAGGCUGA
This is a non-coding RNA of Vicugna pacos (alpaca), 558 nucleotides long. NCBI's taxonomy places the organism in Eukaryota, Metazoa, Chordata, Mammalia, Artiodactyla, Camelidae. The record is from RefSeq and is a predicted model, not a curated record.